This 904-nucleotide ribosomal RNA is filed under the name uncultured bacterium. Its description in RNAcentral is "bacterial SSU rRNA". It matches the Rfam family "Bacterial small subunit ribosomal RNA", at positions 8 to 916 of the family's 1533-position model. The record is from RNAcentral.
AGAGUUUGAUCAUGGCUCAGAACGAACGCUGGCGGCGUGGAUUAGGCAUGCAAGUCGAACGAUCCCGCAAGGGAUAGUGGCGAAAGGGUGCGUAACACGUGGGCAAUCUGCCCCCGAAACGGGAAUAACUUCGGGAAACCGAAGCUAAUACCUGAUGACACCGAGCUGCCGCAUGGUGGCACGGUGAAAGGCGUCCGCAAGGGUGCCGAUCGGGGAUGAGCCCGCGGCCUAUCAGCUAGUUGGUGAGGUAACGGCCCACCAAGGCGAUGACGGGUAGCCGGCCUGAGAGGGUGGUCGGCCACAUUGGGACUGAGACACUGCCCAGACUCCUACGGGAGGCUGCAGUCGAGGAUCUUCCGCAAUGGGGGAAACCCUGACGGAGCGACGCCGCGUGGAGGAUGAAGGCCUUCGGGUCGUAAACUCCUGUCAGUCUGGAAGAAAAUCUGCAGCAAUGUGGAUUGACCGUACAGGCAGAGGAAGCUCCGGCUAACUCCGUGCCAGCAGCCGCGGUAAUACGGAGGGAGCGAGCGUUGUUCGGAAUCAUUGGGCGUAAAGGGCAUGUAGGCGGCUCUGUAAGUCGGGUGUGAAAUCCCAUCUCUCAAGGGUGGAACGGCAUUCGAAACUGCAGGGCUUGAGUUCGGGGAAAGAGAGCGGAAUUCUCGGUGUAGCGGUGAUAUGCGUAGAUAUCGAGAAGAACACCAGCGGCGUAAGCGGCUCUCUAUCCUGAAACUGACGCUGAGGUGCGAAAGCCAGGGGAGCGAACGGGAUUAGAUACCCCGGUAGUCCUGGCCAUAAACGAUGUGCACUUGGUGUUGGGGCCGCGAGGCUCAGUGCCGAAGCUAACGCAUUAAGUGCACCGCCUGGGGAGUACGACCGCAAGGUUGAAACUCAAAGGAAUUGACGG